GAAGUAGAAAUAGGCAGUGUACUGCUCUGAGGGUAAAUUCAGGUCCCUCCCUCAAAUAAGAAGCCAAAUCUGAGCUGCAGCUGACAGUCAGCAGCCUCGCAAACUUGGAGAAGACAUCUUUUCUCCAUGCAGUUCCCUCUGGAGCAAACAACAUGAAGACAAAAACUUGACCUUAAGGAGACAAACAGUAAGAGUGAAAAGAAAACAUAUGAUCUUCAAUAAGAAUGUUAUCCUGUGACUCAUCAGCUCAUUCCUCAAACUGAUGAAGUAGACUCCUUAAGAGAUUGCAAAGAAUUUACUUCCAUAGACAGUGGCCAAGGAAGACAGUCCUGGUACAUUCCUUAA
RNAcentral lists this long non-coding RNA (345 nucleotides) under Castor canadensis (American beaver). Its description in RNAcentral is "lncRNA (ENSCCNG00000030974.1)". The record is from RNAcentral. Lineage: Eukaryota; Metazoa; Chordata; Mammalia; Rodentia; Castoridae.